AGGUCCAAUUUUACAUGCCCU
Molecule: microRNA, 21 nt
Filed under: Monodelphis domestica (gray short-tailed opossum)
Lineage: Eukaryota; Metazoa; Chordata; Mammalia; Didelphimorphia; Didelphidae
Description: mdo-miR-7245-5p
Source: miRBase by way of RNAcentral